GAUGAACGCUGGCGGCGUGCCUAAUACAUGCAAGUCGAGCGAACAGACGAGGAGCUUGCUCCUCUGACGUCAUAGGCGGACGGGAGAUGAACACGUGGUUAACCUACCUCCAAGACUGGGAUAACUAUGCGAGACAGUAGCUAAUACCGGAUAAUAUAUUGAACCGCAUGGUUCAAGAGUGAAAGUCGGUUUUUCGGUCAGUAAUAGAUGGAUCAGCCCCGCAUUCGCUAGUUGGGAGCGUAGCGGAUUAGCAAGGCUACGACGGGUAGCCGCCCCCAACGCGUGGUCGGCCACCCUGGAUCUGAGGCACGGUUCAGACUCCUGCGGGAGGCAGCAGCAGAGACUCUUCCGCAAUGCGCCAGUGCCUGACAGAGCACCGCCGCGUGAGUGAUGAUGCUCUUCUGCUCCUAAAGCUCUGUUAUUCGUGGAGUUCUAAUGUGUAUGUAACUAUGCUCAUCAUGACGGUACCUGAUCAGAAAGCCACGGCUAACUACGUG
RNAcentral lists this ribosomal RNA (497 nucleotides) under uncultured bacterium. RNAcentral describes it as "partial 16S ribosomal RNA". It matches the Rfam family "Bacterial small subunit ribosomal RNA", at positions 28 to 507 of the family's 1533-position model. The record is from RNAcentral.